RNAcentral lists this ribosomal RNA (330 nucleotides) under uncultured bacterium. Its description in RNAcentral is "bacterial SSU rRNA". It matches the Rfam family "Bacterial small subunit ribosomal RNA", at positions 568 to 898 of the family's 1533-position model. The record is from RNAcentral.
CGCGUAGGUGGUAGUGCAAGUCUGAGGUGGAAUCCUAGGGCUUAACCCUAAAAUUGCCUUGGAAACUGCAUUACUUGAGUCAGUGAGGGGAGGGUAGAAUUCCUGGUGUAGCGGUGAAAUGCGUAGAUAUCAGGAGGAAGGCCGGUGGCGAAGGCGGCCCUCUGGCGCUGAACUGACACUGAGGCGCGAAAGCGUGGGGAGCAAACAGGAUUAGAUACCCUGGUAGUCCACGCCCUAAACGGUGGGUACUAGGUGUAGGGCUCGUAAGGGUUCUGUGCCGAAGCGAAAGCAUUAAGUACCCCGCCUGGGGAGUACGGCCGCAAGGUUGAA